CUCCUUCUUGCUCUCAGUUGCAGGCUCCUAGCUUGGAGGAUAUGCAACCUUUACCUGCUGAGGUGGUCAGCUUCUCCAGUCCUGCUGCUGUUAAGGGAAAAAGGAAGGACAGGUUGCCUAUUGUGGAAUCUGAGGUAAGAAGAAGUGAGAGAUUGCAACACUUAAACAAGGGAUAUAGGAAGAAAACAUGUCAUGAUAGUAACUAUUUGGCUUGUACUGCUAAGCCUCUCGUCUGCAAUUCAAAAAUAAUAAAGAAUCUGAACUCUUCUUACUGCAAGGUGGACCCUAAGGCUUGCUCUGAAGAAAUCCUCUUGCAGAAGAAAGUUAAAAGAGGGGGGAAGCCAUCAGCAUGGAAGGACUGAAGCCUUGGGAAGCACUGUG
RNAcentral lists this long non-coding RNA (381 nucleotides) under Triticum aestivum (bread wheat). RNAcentral describes it as "long non-coding RNA (TAES_LNC012041)". The record is from RNAcentral. Lineage: Eukaryota; Viridiplantae; Streptophyta; Magnoliopsida; Poales; Poaceae.